This 253-nucleotide ribosomal RNA is filed under the name uncultured bacterium. RNAcentral's name for it is "partial 16S ribosomal RNA". It matches the Rfam family "Bacterial small subunit ribosomal RNA", at positions 524 to 776 of the family's 1533-position model. The record is from RNAcentral.
UACGGAGGGUGCAAGCGUUAAUCGGAAUUACUGGGCGUAAAGCGCACGCAGGCGGUUGGAUAAGUUAGAUGUGAAAGCCCCGGGCUCAACCUGGGAAUUGCCUUUAAAACUGUCCAGCUAGAGUCUUGUAGAGGGGGGUAGAAUUUCAGGUGUAGCGGUGAAAUGCGUAGAGAUCUGGAGGAAUACCGGUGGCGAAGGCGGCCCCCUGGCCAAAGACUGACGCUCAGGUGCGAAAGCGUGGGUAGCAAACAGG